UCGAGAAUCUUCGGCAAUGGACGAAAGUCUGACCGAGCGACGCCGCGUGCGGGACGAAGGCCCUCGGGUUGUAAACCGCUGUCAGUUUGGAGGAAAUGCAUAAGGGUUCUCUCUUAUGUUUGACCGAUAUUCAGAGGAAGGACGGGCUAAGUUCGUGCGAGCAGCCGCGGUAAGACGAACCGUCCGAACGUUAUUCGGUAUCACUGGGCUUAAAACGUGCGUAGGCGGCUUGGUAGGUGAGAUGUGAAAGCCGACGGCAGAACCGAGGAAUUGCGUUUCAAACCCCCAAGCUCGAGGAAGAUAGGGGUGAUGGGAACUUAUGGUGGAGCGGUGAAAUGCGUUGAUAUCAUAGGGAACACCGGUGGCGAAAGCGCAUCACUGGAUCUUUUCUGACGCUGAGGCACGAAAGCUAGGGUAGCGAACGGGAUUAGAUACCCCCGUAGUCC
RNAcentral lists this ribosomal RNA (446 nucleotides) under uncultured prokaryote. Its description in RNAcentral is "bacterial SSU rRNA". It matches the Rfam family "Bacterial small subunit ribosomal RNA", at positions 355 to 796 of the family's 1533-position model. The record is from RNAcentral.